Cryptomeria japonica (Japanese cedar) is the source of this 1089-nucleotide long non-coding RNA. RefSeq lists it as uncharacterized. The record is from RefSeq and is a predicted model, not a curated record. The transcript has 3 exons. NCBI's taxonomy places the organism in Eukaryota, Viridiplantae, Streptophyta, Pinopsida, Cupressales, Cupressaceae.
UACAAGAUUGGAUUUUUGCUUUCACAUACGGAGGAAGCGCAUUUUAUCAGAAAAUCUUAAAUUAGAAGUUGGUCUAUAGCGUAUAUUGCUUAUGCCUCUCCAUUUAUUUCCACUGAUGAGCAGGUAACUGUAUAUGUUGGCAAACAUUCUAAUUACUGUAAUGAACGCUUAUGUGAAACAAACAUAAAUGAGGUAUAUGCAUAGGCAUUUAAAUGCAAUACAAAACCGCCCUCCCUCCUUUACAAUCCAAAAUCCUUCUCCACUACGUUGGAGGCAAAUAACCUUUUUUUCAAAAUCUGAAAUGAGAAAGAAUGAAGCCCAACAUCUCUACAAAGCGCGGGAAGAGCUACUAUGCAUUUAGUAUUUAGAAGGAGCCAUACAAGGAAUUCUCUCAAAUUGCCUUUGGUAUUUCCACAUUUUGCAGCGCGUUUUGCAUUUGAUUGCUGCAUUCAGAGAAUGGCAAAGCCGAAGAAGAGUAAUAGACAGCAAAAUGCGGCCUCAGAGGAGGAAGGAAGUGGCUCACACCCUAAAAACGUCACCCCUGAUACUACACAAGGCAGCCUUUAUCAGGUGCUUGGAGCGGAGCGGAUUGCAUCUCAACAGGAAAUUAAAAAGGCCUACCACAGGUUGGCAUUACAGCUGCAUCCUGACAAAAAUCAAAAUGACGAGGUAUGUGCUGGUUUUUCCUUUUAUACAUGGAAGGAGACUUUGUGGAAGUAUUGAAUUUGCAGUUAUAGGAGAUGCUUUGGCAUUACUGAUAUAUGUUUGCUUGAUUUUUGUUGCUCUUAAAUUUGGAAUUGUACAAUGCCAAUGAAAAGUUCCAGAAAUUGCAAAAAGUAAUGUCAAUACUUGGAGAUCCAGAGAAGAGAAAACUUUAUGAUGAGACUAGUUGUGUUGAUGACCAGGACCUUGCUGGGGAUGCAGUUCAGAAUCUAUGUGAUUUUCUCAGGACGUUGUAUAAAGAGGUGACUAAUGCUAGUUGUAUGUUGAUUUAUGCGGUUUAGAAUUUAGAUGGCGGCCACAUUUAAAUUAUAGAGAAUGGUUAUGGUUGUAGCCAUGGUUAACAGAUUUGAGAAAUUGUAUUUGUUU